AAGCACACCCCUGCUUCCCCCUGUGGGUCUGAUGGUGUUGUGGCUCAUUUGGUGGGAAGCCAGUCACACACACAAACAAUCCCCAGCCACAUACCCCAGACACCCAGGCCCUAGAGACCAGCUCAGCCAAAGAGUCUACCUAUGAGACCCCCCAAGACUAAUGAAAACUAUGUGACCACAACCAACAGAUGACCACAGUUCAGAUCCGACUGGGCUAUAAAACAAGGUUCCUGCUGAAGACCCCUCUUGAGUGGUUCUCCUCAGAGAAGAAAGUCUGUGAUUGGAAGCUCUCCCUUUGGGUUGAGACAUCACCCAAGGUAACUUCUCCCCAGUUACUGAGUGACCUCGCCUUUUAGUGUUAUUGUGCUCAGAGAACAGACAAUGUCAAAAUGCCAACGGUACCUGAUUUUUCAUUGAAUGCCAACAAUGAAAAAGAAGCUUCCAGCCAGUGGAAACAUAGAAUUAUUCCAAAGUCUUCGAAUAGCAAGUAAAAAUAAGCAACAUAACAAGGGCAUUGACAGCAGAGAUAAAGAAGUCAUUAUCCCACUCUACUCAGUGCUUGUCAGACCACACCUGGAAUACUGUGUUCAGUUUUUGUCCCCACUAUACAUAAAAGAUAUGGACAGGCUGGGAAGGUUCCAUAGAAGGGGCACAAAGAUGAUCCAAGGACUGGGAAGCCUGCAGUAUGAGGAAAGACUGGGAGAACCACUUUGUUCAGCCUUGAGAAAAGAAGGCUUAGGGGAGACCUUAUUACCAUGUUCCAGUAUUUAAAGGGUGGCUACAAAGAAGACAGAGACUCCCUUUUAAAAGGAGUCACACAGAAAAAACAAGGGAUAAUGGGUGCAAGCUACUCCUGAGGAGAUUCUGAUUGGAGACACAAGAGGAAAAUUUUUCAUAAUGAGAACAAUCAGAUGUUGGAAUAAUCUCCCCAGGGAAGUUGUGGAUACCCCAUCACUGGACGCUUUUAAGAUUCAGUUGGACAGGGUGCUGGGCCUUCUUGUCUUCACUGUGCUUUUGCCAAGAAAGGUUGGCUAGGUCCCUGGGGUCUCUUCCAGCCUGGUAUUCAAUGAUUCUAUGAUGCUGUGAACCAUACCACCACUUCAGAAACAGAGCUCGAUCAUUUAAUGGAAAGGUUUUUGAGACAUGGUUGCAAGAGUGUGGUCCAUGGUGUGGACACCACAAACAGUAUUGUUUAAAGGCCACUUGAACAGAAAAACAAUGAUACCCAGUCAUUGUACAAAAACGAGUAAAUACAAAAUAAACAAAAAAUGUCUAUACCUUUCUCCUUCUUC
RNAcentral lists this long non-coding RNA (1292 nucleotides) under Calidris pugnax (ruff). RNAcentral's name for it is "lncRNA (ENSCPUG00000015750.1)". Lineage: Eukaryota; Metazoa; Chordata; Aves; Charadriiformes; Scolopacidae. The record is from RNAcentral.